UCUGGUUAUUUGAGCGACUUGGCCCCACCCUUUCCCAUCCCGAACAAGGUCGUGAAACGAGUCAGCGCCGAUGAUACUAUCACGCUUAGCGUGAGGGGAAAGUAGGUCAUAGCCAGAG
Molecule: ribosomal RNA, 118 nt
Filed under: Candidatus Roizmanbacteria bacterium CG2_30_33_16
Lineage: Bacteria; Candidatus Roizmaniibacteriota
Also listed under: 4 other names
Source: RNAcentral